RNAcentral lists this ribosomal RNA (1257 nucleotides) under metagenome. Its description in RNAcentral is "bacterial LSU rRNA". It matches the Rfam family "Bacterial large subunit ribosomal RNA", at positions 1649 to 2925 of the family's 2925-position model. The record is from RNAcentral.
AAAAACCGACACAGGUGGAUGAGGAGAGAAUCCUAAGGCCGGCGGAAGAAGCAUUGUUAAGGAAUUCGGCAAAAUGACCCCGUAACUUCGGGAGAAGGGGUGCCUGCGAGAGCAGGCCGCAGAGAAUAGGCUCAAGCAACUGUUUAGCAAAAACACAGGUCUAUGCGAAACCGAAAGGUGAAGUAUAUGGGCUGACGCCUGCCCGGUGCUGGAAGGUUAAGAGGAGAGGUUAGCUUCGGCGAAGCUUUGAAUUUAAGCCCCAGUAAACGGCGGCCGUAACUAUAACGGUCCUAAGGUAGCGAAAUUCCUUGUCGGGUAAGUUCCGACCCGCACGAAAGGCGUAAUGAUUUGAGCACUGUCUCGACAAUGCAUCCGGUGAAAUUGAAGUACCAGUGAAGAUGCUGGUUACCCGCGCCAGGACGGAAAGACCCCAUGGAGCUUUACUCCAGUUUGAUACUGGGAUUCGGUACUGCAUGUACAGGAUAGGUGGGAGACGAAGAAGGAUGGACGCCAGUCUGUCCGGAGUCGCUGUUGGGAUACCACCCCUGUAGUACUGGGUUUCUAACCAGUUGCCAUGAACUGGCAAUGGGACAAUGUCAGGCGGGGAGUUUGACUGGGGCGGUCGCCUCCGAAAGGGUAUCGGAGGCGCUCAAAGGUUCCCUCAGAAUGGUUGGAAACCAUUUGAAGAGUGCAAAGGCAGAAGGGAGCUUGACUGCGACACCGACGGGUGGAGCAGGUACGAAAGUAGGACUUAGUGAUCCGGUGGUAUAAAGUGGGAUUGCCAUCGCUCAACGGAUAAAAGCUACCCUGGGAUAACAGGCUUAUCACUCCCAAGAGUUCACAUCGACGGAGUGGUUUGGCACCUCGAUGUCGGCUCAUCGCAUCCUGGGGCUGUAGCAGGUCCCAAGGGUUGGGCUGUUCGCCCAUUAAAGCGGUACGCGAGCUGGGUUCAGAACGUCGUGAGACAGUUCGGUCCCUAUCCGGCGCGGGCGGAGGAUAUUUGAGAGGAGCUGUCCUUAGUACGAGAGGACCGGGAUGGACGGACCACUGGUGUAUCUGUUGUCGACCAACGGCAUGGCAGAGUAGCCAAGUCUGGAAGGGAUAAACGCUGAAGGCAUCUAAGCGUGAAGCCCCCCUCAAGAUGAGAUAUCCCUCCUUCGGGAGUAAGACCACUUGAAGACUACAAGGUAGAUAGGGCAGAGGUGGAAGCAUGGCAACAUGUGGAGCUGACUGUUACUAAUAGGUCGAGGGCUUAAU